GAUGAACGCUGGCGGCGUGCUUAACACAUGCAAGUCGAACGGGAAACCUUUUAUUGAAGCUUCGGCAGAUUUAGCUGGUUUCUAGUGGCGGACGGGUGAGUAACGCGUGGGUAACCUGCCUUAUACAGGGGGAUAACAGUCAGAAAUGGCUGCUAAUACCGCAUAAGCGCACACAGCUGCAUGGCGCAGUGUGAAAAACUCCGGUGGUAUAAGACGGACCCGCGUUGGAUUAGCUGGAUGGUGGGGUAAGGGCCCACCAAGGCGACGAUCCAUAGCCGGCCUGAGAGGGUGAACGGCCACAUUGGGACUGAGACACGGCCCAGACUCCUACGGGAGGCAGCAGUGGGGAAUAUUGCACAAUCGGGGAGACCCUGAUGCAGCGACGCCGCGUGAAGGAAGAAGUAUCUCGGUAUGUGAACUUCUAUCAGCAGGGAAGAUAAUGACGGUACCUGACUAAGAAGCCCCGGCUAACUACGUG
This 478-nucleotide ribosomal RNA is filed under the name uncultured bacterium. RNAcentral describes it as "partial 16S ribosomal RNA". It matches the Rfam family "Bacterial small subunit ribosomal RNA", at positions 28 to 507 of the family's 1533-position model. The record is from RNAcentral.